GAGUGGCGAACUGGUGAGUAACACGUGGGAAACCUGCCCAGAAGCGGGGGAUAACACCUGGAAACAGAUGCUAAUACCGCAUAACAACUUGGACCGCAUGGUCCGAGCUUGAAAGAUGGCUUCGGCUAUCACUUUUGGAUGGUCCCGCGGCGUAUUAGCUAGAUGGUGGGGUAACGGCUCACCAUGGCAAUGAUACGUAGCCGACCUGAGAGGGUAAUCGGCCACAUUGGGACUGAGACACGGCCCAAACUCCUACGGGAGGCAGCAGUAGGGAAUCUUCCACAAUGGACGAAAGUCUGAUGGAGCAACGCCGCGUGAGUGAAGAAGGGUUUCGGCUCGUAAAACUCUGUUGUUAAAGAAGAACAUAUCUGAGAGUAACUGUUCAGGUAUUGACGGUAUUUAACCAGAAAGCCACGGCUAACUACGUGCCAGCAGCCGCGGUAAUACGUAGGUGGCAAGCGUUGUCCGGAUUUAUUGGGCGUAAAGCGAGCGCAGGCGGUUUUUUAAGUCUGAUGUGAAAGCCUUCGGCUCAACCGAAGAAGUGCAUCGGAAACUGGGAAACUUGAGUGCAGAAGAGGACAGUGGAACUCCAUGUGUAGCGGUGAAAUGCGUAGAUAUAUGGAAGAACACCAGUGGCGAAGGCGGCUGUCUGGUCUGUAACUGACGCUGAGGCUCGAAAGUAUGGGUAGCAAACAGGAUUAGAUACCCUGGUAGUCCAUACCGUAAACGAUGAAUGCUAAGUGUUGGAGGGUUUCCGCCCUUCAGUGCUGCAGCUAACGCAUUAAGCAUUCCGCCUGGGGAGUACGGCCGCAAGGCUGAAACUCAAAGGAAUUGACGGGGGCCCGCACAAGCGGUGGAGCAUGUGGUUUAAUUCGAAGCUACGCGAAGAACCUUACCAGGUCUUGACAUACUAUGCAAAUCUAAGAGAUUAGACGUUCCCUUCGGGGACAUGGAUACAGGUGGUGCAUGGUUGUCGUCAGCUCGUGUCGUGAGAUGUUGGGUUAAGUCCCGCAACGAGCGCAACCCUUAUUAUCAGUUGCCAGCAUUAAGUUGGGCACUCUGGUGAGACUGCCGGUGACAAACCGGAGGAAGGUGGGGAUGACGUCAAAUCAUCAUGCCCCUUAUGACCUGGGCUACACACGUGCUACAAUGGAUGGUACAACGAGUUGCGAACUCGCGAGAGUAAGCUAAUCUCUUAAAGCCAUUCUCAGUUCGGAUUGUAGGCUGCAACUCGCCUACAUGAAGUCGGAAUCGCUAGUAAUCGCGGAUCAGCAUGCCGCGGUGAAUACGUUCCCGGGCCUUGUACACACCGCCCGUCACACCAUGAGAGUUUGUAACACCCAAAGUCGGUGGGGUAACCUUUUAGGAACCAGCCGCCC
This 1379-nucleotide ribosomal RNA is filed under the name Lactobacillus sp. WX131. RNAcentral's name for it is "16S ribosomal RNA". It matches the Rfam family "Bacterial small subunit ribosomal RNA", at positions 93 to 1458 of the family's 1533-position model. The record is from RNAcentral. Lineage: Bacteria; Bacillati; Bacillota; Bacilli; Lactobacillales; Lactobacillaceae.